AGAAUACAGUUAUUUUUUAUCUUCAACAUCGCAACAGCGUUUCCACGAAUCCUACGACCAAUUUAAUAUAGCGUGAGACAGGCGAACAGGAAAUAUUUAAAGUUAUAACUCUCACAAAAGCGGUACGAAAUUAAUUGUUAACUAACGUUAAGACAAAAAAAUGUCAUAUUCUAUAAAAACAAUGGGCAGUGUAGACGAUGAACGCUAAGAUUUCGCAUGACACAUUGACACCUUUGCGGUCUUUGCCACACGAAUCCUAGAAAUGUCCUCUUGAAUUCUC
Molecule: non-coding RNA, 280 nt
Organism: Cinara cedri
Lineage: Eukaryota; Metazoa; Arthropoda; Insecta; Hemiptera; Aphididae
Source: the annotation of a GenBank genome assembly